This 253-nucleotide ribosomal RNA is filed under the name uncultured bacterium. Its description in RNAcentral is "partial 16S ribosomal RNA". It matches the Rfam family "Bacterial small subunit ribosomal RNA", at positions 524 to 776 of the family's 1533-position model. The record is from RNAcentral.
UACAGAGGGUGCAAGCGUUAAUCGGAAUUACUGGGCGUAAAGGGCGCGUAGGCGGCCUGCUAAGUCGAACGUGAAAUCCCCGAGCUCAACUCGGGAACUGCGUCCGAUACUGGCAGGCUUGAAUCCGGGAGAGGGAUGCGGAAUUCCAGGUGUAGCGGUGAAAUGCGUAGAUAUCUGGAGGAACACCGGUGGCGAAGGCGGCAUCCUGGACCGGCAUUGACGCUGAGGCGCGAAAGCCAGGGGAGCAAACGGG